This 140-nucleotide ribosomal RNA is filed under the name uncultured bacterium. RNAcentral describes it as "partial 16S ribosomal RNA". The record is from RNAcentral.
CCGGAAUUUUGCGCCAUGCAAGAUAGCUCUCACGGCAGUCACGCCGCGUGCAGUGAUGAAGGUUUUCUGGUUGUAAACCUGUUUUUACAGGGAAGAACAAGGACGGGUACCUGUAGAAUAAUGUCCGGCUAACUACAGUG